Long non-coding RNA from Gasterosteus aculeatus aculeatus (three-spined stickleback), 4060 nucleotides. The record is from Ensembl. Lineage: Eukaryota; Metazoa; Chordata; Actinopteri; Perciformes; Gasterosteidae.
AAAUGGAUCUCGCGACAGAGAGCCGGGAAAAGCGAAAAAUUAUUCUGACCAUGAAAUAUCAUUCAACAGCGUAAUACAGUUGGCGCUUUCAAUCCCUUGCAGCAAAACGUAUCACAGUAUCAGCGACCUCCCGUUCACGCUGGGCCGCAGUGACCUACGACCCUGGUACCUAGUUCCCGGUUGCCCGUUCUUCCUCCGGGCCGCCUCGAGUUCCUCGAGUUGCCCGACCCCAUGCUGCCGGCGCCCUCGAGCCCGGCUCCCCGUGACCAGUCGCUGGCACCCCUGAGCCCGGCCCCUAUCCGCCCACCGGGCCGACCCCUGGAGGCCCCCCGGCCGCCUGAUCUUCCUCCGAGACCCCCGCCAGAGUUCAUCGGGCUGCCCGACCCCCUGCAGCAAAUCUUCCCUGUGUGUCUUUUAUAGUAUUGAACUCUUAUUGGAACAGAUACAGUAGGUGGAUGAGUAUUGCUACUCUUCUUACUUGGGAGGAGAAUGAGGCAGAUAUGACCUGACCUGGCCACCUUCUUUUCAGGGGAAUGUAUUCAUUGGGGAGCAGAUGGGUUUCUUGGAUAUAAGCUAUCUGGAUUGUUAGCUGCUUCCGUCUCAACAUCACUAUUUCCCUGAGGCCCGUAACAUUUAUUUCAGUGUCACCACCCAUGGUAAAGUCAGAAAACUAGGCUUACUUGCAACCAAUUCUUUAAUCAUGCCAUGUGAUAGUAGUAAGUGAAUAGUGUGCCUUCAAAGUAAACAGACAAACAAACAGAACAAACAACAACAAGGACCUCUUCCAAUUGAGGCCCCACCCUGUGCGGGUGAACACGCACAUCUCCCCUGUGCCCCGUGGACUGGGUCUCGGUUAGACUGAGCCGUGAUCCUUUGGAGGAGCAGUGUAGCAACCAGCUCUAUUAAAUGUAUUCUCCUCUUGGUUUAGCUUGUUGCUAGUUACUUCUUCCGUGUCUUCCUCACCUAACGUUAGUUUCAGUUUUUUUGUUGUCUUUAGGAAGAUGGCUUUUCCGAUUUUUCGACAUUGCAUGAAAUGUAUCUUAGCUUGCUUUGGUUUGUAAGGUAACGUUAUAUUUAUUUCGCCGAAGCCUCGCUCCACCCACGUCUGCUCAGGAAUUUGACUUGGCAGUUGGUGUGUAACAAUAGACAACAAGACAUCAGUGCACAAGUGGUAAAAUGAAAUGAAAUGCUAAUGCUAUGCGUUAGUAGAAUAAGGCUAUGGGUUAGUAUAAAACAAGAGAAUAAAGUUAAAGUUAAAAAUAAAAAAUAUUUAAAAAGUUUAAAAAUAUAAAAAAAAUAAAGUGCACUAGCGAACAAGUGACAAAGUGACGAGUGAAAAAUGACAGUUAAAAAGUGACAAGUGCAGUAUGAAAGAGAGUGACCGGUGGAAUGUCAGAGUCAGUCAGUGACUCUGUUGAUGAGCCCGACUGCCGACGGGAAGAAACCUCUGCUGAGCCUUCCUGGUGAUGGAGCUGAUGUUCAGCUCCCACUUGAGGUCCUGGGUGAUGAUGGAGCCCAGGAAACGGAAGGAAUCCACAAUGGUGACGGGGGAGUCGCACAGCGUAAUGGGGGAGGGUGGGGCUCUGUUCCGCCGGAAAUCCACAACCAUCUCCACUGUCUUUAGAGCUCCAGGUUGUUCUGACUGCACCACGACACCAGAGGGUCAGACUCCCACCUGUAGACGGACUCAUCCCCACCGGAGAUCAGUCCAAUGAGGGUGGUGUCAUCCCCAAACUUCAGGAGCUUGACGGACUGGUGAGUGGAGGUGCAGCUGUUGGUGUACAGGGAGAGACACGUCCAGCUGGGAGAGUUUGUCCUGCAGCAGAGACGGGAUGAUGGUGUUGAAGGCAGAGAUGAAGUCCACAAACAGGAUCCUGGCGUAGGUUCCUGGGGAGUCCAGAUGCUGGAGGAUGUAGUGGAGGGCCAUGUUGACAGCGUCGUCCACAGACCUGUUGGUUCUGUAGGCGAACUGCAGGGGGUCCAGGAGGGGGGUCGGUGAGGGACUUCAGGUGGGUCAGGACUAGCCGUUCAAAAGACUUCAUGACUACAGAGGUCAGGGCGACGGGCCUGUAGUCAUUGAGUCCUGUGAUCCUGGGCUUCUUGGGAACAGGGAUGAUGGUGGAGGCCUUGAAGCAGGCUGGUACGUGGCAUGUCUCCAGGGAGGUGUUGAAGAUGUCAGUGAACACCGGAGACAGCUGCUCAUAACCAUGGUACUGUAACUCUGGAGGUGGACAGUAACCGUGUACUCCACAGAUUUGUGGCCUCAAUGCCAAAACCCUGUGCGUGGUGGACACCCAAUUGCCCAUCACCGUGAGCACACCAUCCCAACAGGGAAAUAUGGUGGUGAUGCCAUCAUUUCACAUUUUAUAUCUGACCUAUUUAUCAAGUAAAUUAAAGAUAAUAAUAUAACAAACUCUGACGAUUUCUUCUUGUAACAUCAAUCAAGCAUUUGAGUCCAUCUUGAAGAAUUGUGACAAAUUAUUGAGAGCACUGUCUAGCAGUAUACUAACAUCGGGGUAAAGCACAUUCCAUCUCUGCCGCUUCCUGGUCCUGAACGUUUUGUUGGUGUCAAAGUGUGACACUCGUGUUAGUGAGCCCCCUACUCUCUUAUUGGUAUCACUCUGCAGCUACUGAUGCAUCCGGCUUCGCUGGCCGAGUAACUGGAGGUACUGUUCCUUAAAAUAAGAAUAGAAUGUUUAACAAUGGUGCAAUGAAGAAGCUGCCCUAAAAUCUGGCUUUGAGGUGGAACUAAAAUAGACGAAUUUAAGUAGUAACUUAAGGCUUAUUAUUGUUGACAGUCUUUUGCCAACAUUAGACCUUCUCAUCCUUUUCAGUUUAACCAUUCAAUUCAAGAUUGAAGUGUAUCAAAUAAUGUGAAAGUGACAAGUGACCAGUGUAUGUGUAUGUGGAGUGUGAAGGGAGUGAUUGGUGGAUAAGGGGAUGACAGAGUCAGUCAGUUGGGGACCCCACGCUCUGAAACUUGUGUGGCGGGAAGUCUCGGUCCUGACGUACCUCAGCCUCGUGCCAGAUGGAAGGGGCACAAACAAUUUGGACCGGGGGGAAAGGGGUCGGCUACUUUUGUGUCCCUUGCGUGCCUUUUCACACCUCGUUGCGUGCGUCGACCCAUUUUUUUAUUCCGCGGGCUUUGUUGGUCUGCUACAUUCUUUCCGAAGUCUCACAUUUCUGUUUUCAUAGAACAAUACCAUUAUUAAAACGAAGAAUGUUUACGAGAGAACGGAUCAGAUUGAAGAGCUUUUGUCGGAAGAAAUCCGUAUUUAUGACCACUUCUACAACCUGUCUUUGGCGGACUCUAAGGACGCGCGGAUGGCCUCUGAUUCAUGGAGGGAGAUCUCCGCAAACGUCGGUUUGCCGGUCGAGAGGUACACAAAGUUGUGGAGGAAAAUACAGGACAAAUGUGUCCGCGAUGAAAAGCAACAGUGUCGAUGCACGGGACAAUAAAGUCUAUGAUAAAUAAACUAAUGACUUCCACACACAAAGACGUGACUCUCCAUGUCGUCUUCGACAAAAAACUACUCCACCUAUUGUUCUGGCGGUGAAUUGCUCUGCAACACACGCAAGCCUUUUAGAACCAGGAAUUGAAGCGAGUGCGUUGACACAACGGUGCCAGUUCACACAAUUUAUUCAAGGGGAUUUUCUCUCAUGACCAUAGACGUCCUUGCACACCAAUCUAGUAGACUCUGGUCUAACGUGACCUGUUUGCAGUUCCAAAGAAGUAGGUCUUCCGGUUGACCCGCCAACCUGUGAUCAAUUUAGUUUUGUCGUCUAACAUGACUAGUCCAGCUAAUGCCGCUUAUUCCUAGCCUAACGUGACCAGUCUAGCGGAAUCAAGUUACGGCUCAUAGAAGAUGGAAGAGCGCGAUUCAUGCAAAUAGUUCAGAAAUUGUCCUCUGAAAGUAUGCAGUGUGUUUGGAGUGCUUGAGUGAUGCGAAACAUUUGCGUUGUGUUUGGUUUAAUUAUUCAUAUGGUGCAUUCACACCAAUCUAUCCAACAUUAAUAAAGAUAUUACUUUUUUGGUCUUGAAAAUUGAAGGCAGCUAUCG